AUAUUGGACAAUGGGCGAAAGCCUGAUCCAGCCAUGCUGCGUGUGUGAAGAAGGUCUUCGGAUUGUAAAGCACUUUAAGCUGGGUGGAAGAGUUGUAGGCUAAUACCUUGCAAUUUUGACGUUACCAACAGAAUAAGCACCGGCUAACUUCGUGCCAGCAGCCGCGGUAACACGAAGGGUGCAAGAGUUAAUCGGAAGUACUGGGCGUAAAUCGCGCGUAGGUGAUUCGUUAAGUUAGAAGAGAAAGCCCAGGGCUUAACCUGGGAAUUGCUUUCAAAACUGACGAGCUAGAGUACGGUAGAAGGUAGUGGAAUUUCCUGUGUAGCGGUGAAAUGCGUAGAUAUAGGAAGGAACAUCAGUGGCGAAGGCGACUACCUGGACUGAUACUGACACUGAGGUGCGAAAGCGUGGGGAGCAAACAGG
This 423-nucleotide ribosomal RNA is filed under the name uncultured bacterium. RNAcentral's name for it is "partial 16S ribosomal RNA". It matches the Rfam family "Bacterial small subunit ribosomal RNA", at positions 361 to 776 of the family's 1533-position model. The record is from RNAcentral.